CUUCCAGUAGCACCUUAGAGACCAACUAAGUUUGUUAUUGGUAUGAGCUUUCAUGUGCAUGCACGAAAUGUCCACCAUGUCUCAUACCAAUAACAAACUUAGUUGGUCUCUAAGGUGCUACUGGAAG
This is a non-coding RNA of Podarcis lilfordi (Lilford's wall lizard), 127 nucleotides long. The record is from the annotation of a GenBank genome assembly. Lineage: Eukaryota; Metazoa; Chordata; Lepidosauria; Squamata; Lacertidae.